GGGGAUGUAUCUCAAGAUGAGAGCACUUGCCUGACACGCAUGAGGCUCUGGGUUCAAUCCCCAACACUGCCA
This 72-nucleotide transfer RNA is filed under the name Cavia porcellus (domestic guinea pig). It matches the Rfam family "tRNA". From Rfam's summary of the family: Transfer RNA (tRNA) molecules are approximately 80 nucleotides in length. Their secondary structure includes four short double-helical elements and three loops (D, anti-codon, and T loops). The record is from Rfam by way of RNAcentral. Lineage: Eukaryota; Metazoa; Chordata; Mammalia; Rodentia; Caviidae.